This 229-nucleotide ribosomal RNA is filed under the name uncultured bacterium. RNAcentral describes it as "partial 16S ribosomal RNA". It matches the Rfam family "Bacterial small subunit ribosomal RNA", at positions 568 to 796 of the family's 1533-position model. The record is from RNAcentral.
UGCGUAGGCGUCCAGGAAAGUUAUUUGUUAAAGCCUCCGGCUUAACCGGAGAUAUGCAAGUAAAACUAUCUGGAUAGAGUUUAAGAGAGGAAAAUGGAAUUCCUGGUGUAGCGGUGACAUGCGUAGAUAUCAGGAGGAACAUCAAUGGCGAAGGCAGUUUUCUGGCUUAAAACUGACGCUGAGGCACGAAAGCGUGGGGAGCAAACAGGAUUAGAUACCCUGGUAGUCC